GCAUUUUCCAGAGGAAGCUGAGGGAGGAGAUUAGAAUUCCUGGAGGCUAAUCCACUGGGCUAUGGAUCUGAUGUUCAGAGUGUAGUGGUCCUCCUGGCUCCAUGCUGUCCUAGUCAAUGAUCGCAACUCCAGUGCCAUCUCAUCCAAGAAGCUUUGCCCACCCACUGCCCUAGCAAGGUGCAUGGCUUCUGUGCUCUCAAACAGACUUGUGCCUCACUGCUUUUUAACAAAGCACUCAUCACUCUGUAAUGCAAUUAUCUAAUGUAAUAAUUGCUAAGAUUCAUGGACCCCGUGCUAGGUGCUGGACAUUCAGGGUUUUCAAGGACUGAGAAUGCACAUAUGGAUAGAACAAAUCUAGAAAUUCAAGCUACUUCUAUUGCUAAACAAGUAUAGAGUUUCAUAUAAAUAUAAUUCAUAAAAGGUAUAAACGGCAAGAGUUUCUACCCAAAGAUUUUGUGAAACACCUGGCAUUCUAGCUACAGCAGCAAAUUAUGGCAUCCCUUAGCCCCUCAGAGACCUCUGUCCUCAGCAGAUGUGACCGCCUUCUUGGAUCUCAGCAGUGCAAGGGUUCAGUGUGCCAGCAUCUCUACAUCUGAGGUCUUGCUGUCUUCUGCAGGCCUUCCAGCUGCUUUGAGAGAGAAGUGACCAAAGUAUUCUCACUUUUGAAGGGAGUGAAAUAAAACCUGGACAAACCAGGUUCUCAAAUUAAAAUUCAUGGAUCUUCCUAUUUUCCCAAGAAGAGCCUGUUUUUUUUCGUAUACUCCAUUGAAGCCAUUGCUGGUGGACAAUUUUCAUAGCAUUUUCUUCUCUUUUGUUUUGAAAGGCAUUGAUUAGUAAGUAGGACAUUUCUGUUCAGCAAUUGCCCUUUGAAGUUUUAUUCAAACACAGAAUUUACUGUAAAACAGACCAGUCUUUAUUCUUUCUUUUAGUGAAAAUUAUAAACUCUUUUUAUAUAUAUAUAUAUAUAUAUAUAUUUUUAUUAUACUUUAAGUUCUAG
This 997-nucleotide long non-coding RNA is filed under the name Homo sapiens (human). Its description in RNAcentral is "HSALNT0042282". Lineage: Eukaryota; Metazoa; Chordata; Mammalia; Primates; Hominidae. The record is from RNAcentral.